CACGUAGGGGCCAAGCGUUGUCCGGAUUUAUUGGGCGUAAAGAGCUCGUAGGCGGUUCGACAAGUCGGGUGUGAAAACUCCGGGCUCAACCCGGAGACGCCACCCGAUACUGUCGUGACUGGAGUCCGGUAGGGGAGUGGGGAAUUCCUGGUGUAGCGGUGAAAUGCGCAGAUAUCAGGAGGAACACCGGUGGCGAGGGCGCCACUCUGGGCCGGUACUGACGCUGAGGAGCGAAAGCGUGGGUAGCAAACAGG
RNAcentral lists this ribosomal RNA (254 nucleotides) under uncultured bacterium. Its description in RNAcentral is "partial 16S ribosomal RNA". It matches the Rfam family "Bacterial small subunit ribosomal RNA", at positions 524 to 776 of the family's 1533-position model. The record is from RNAcentral.